CCAGCAUCACCACCACGCAAGGCCCAGGGACUGGCUCUGCAGGGUGCCACCAUCGCUGCUCCAAACUGACUGCACCAGGAACACAACUUCCUCUGUCCCACCGCAAUCUGUGGGAAGGCUGGAGCCAAAGGGUUGGGGACCAAGCACAAAGUGAUGGAAAGGGCCCCGCAGCGCUGGAGGAGGAUCCCACUGUACUUGGCAAACCUGCCCUAGCUUGGGGCUUUGCAAGGAGAACAAGGCAUGAGAGCCACUGAGGAGCAGGAGCAUGAAGAACAACCUGCGCAUCUCAUAAACCUGCUGCAACUUGAGCUUCCAGUUAGUGGGAAACUGCGUGUUUUCAUGGCAAGUAAGGUGCUCCCUACGGGACGGCAGUUCACAGGAGAAAUCCAUGUUGCCAUGACCUUCAUUUCAGGAAAGAAGUUGGUGACUCCCCAUUUCCAAAUGUUGUUCUUACACUCUUUAUUUUCGUGUUGUUUGUAGUGCUGGUUCUCUCCUGCCAUGUCAGUAGUGGUGCCUCUUGUACCUGCAGAGCAGAGUGUCUCCAGGAAAGAAGAGCUGUUUUCAGUCCAUAAACUAACCAAACCACCAGCACGGGAUUUGGCACAGGCCACCGGGAACUCCCCUGGUCCUGACGGAACCAACGCAGGCAGAUCUGUUGGUGUAUUUUUUGGGUUUUGUUUUUUUAAUAUUUAAAAGAAUGUUACUUUUCUGUAUGAUGUGCAUGCGAGUUUACCGUAACUUUUUCUUAAGCCUUUUUAGUGCCAUUUCUAGUAUAUUCCUGUAAAUGUCCGUUACUGAGGAGAAACGAGUCAAUGUAAGUAGUGUUAGCUUGUUCUUUGCAAAUUGCUGGCCUCAAACACGACAGAAUUUAAAAGGAAGAGUUAGAAAGUACUCUGUGAUGUUACUGGUGAUCACGGACCCUGGGCCCGGGCAUUCGGUUUCUUUUCAUAAUAAAAAGAGAAAUUGU
This is a long non-coding RNA of Neopsephotus bourkii (Bourke's parrot), 967 nucleotides long. RefSeq lists it as uncharacterized. The transcript has 2 exons. The record is from RefSeq and is a predicted model, not a curated record. NCBI's taxonomy places the organism in Eukaryota, Metazoa, Chordata, Aves, Psittaciformes, Psittacidae.